This 216-nucleotide non-coding RNA is filed under the name Beta vulgaris subsp. vulgaris (sugar beet). Its description in RNAcentral is "Bacterial large subunit ribosomal RNA". It matches the Rfam family "Bacterial large subunit ribosomal RNA", at positions 1697 to 1900 of the family's 2925-position model. The record is from Rfam by way of RNAcentral. Lineage: Eukaryota; Viridiplantae; Streptophyta; Magnoliopsida; Caryophyllales; Amaranthaceae.
AAUUAUAGUUAAGUAACUAGACAAAUAAAUCCUGUAACUUUGGAAUAAAGGAUGGCGUAUUGAAUCAAUCAUUUAAUACGUAACACAGAAAGAAGCAUGAGACUAUUUUACUAAAGACACAGCACCUUACUAAGGAAUAAUCCUGUAUGUAAGGAGUGAUGUUAGCCCAGUGUUAUACCUAAUGAUCCACGGCAGGUUUAAACUCUGAGGCUAUUU